RNAcentral lists this long non-coding RNA (218 nucleotides) under Elaeis guineensis (African oil palm). RNAcentral's name for it is "long non-coding RNA (EGUI_LNC039277)". Lineage: Eukaryota; Viridiplantae; Streptophyta; Magnoliopsida; Arecales; Arecaceae. The record is from RNAcentral.
CCUGAUCAAAAGCAACACUGUGUGGAUGCCCGUAGAGAUCAAAUAUUUGUGUGGCUCUAAGAAAUAUCAAGAGGCAUCCAUGAUUUUUUCAGAUUGCGGUGAAGGUCUACUUGCGCAAAGGCAAAAUUUUAGAUUUUAUUAGAAUAGAUCUAAAUCUUAUUUAUGUAAUGAUUUCUGGAUAUGAGAUAUGAUUUCUGUAUAUGUUUGUUAGAUUAGAU